GGAAUUCUGAAAAGAUGAAUGAUUUUUGACAUUGAUCUAAUGCAUUUAAUGUUGCUCAAGUUAUUAUAUUACUUCAUUAUCUCAAGUUAUACUUUCUUUUGAAGGAUUGUCGGAAGUUGUACUUUACUUUUGAAGGAUGUGGUGUUAAUCAACUAUUGUUUUGUAUGCUUCCUUUACGCUAGCAACAACAAAAUAAUGUCAUUCAGAUGUUUUUGUGUGCUUUCCCAGCAAGCUUUGGCUUUAAAGGAGAAUCUGUGAGCUCUAAUUCGGACCUUUCUUUUGUUGGAAAUUGUUAGUAAUACAACUCAUGGGAUGCCAAAUGGUUAUCGAAAGGUUUUGAAGGAAAAGUUCUUUUGAGAUUUAGUUGGGUAAUAUCCAUUAGGAUAGGGUAUAACACUACUAACCUGGUCGUUGUUUUUGACAUUGUUUACAGGAUGACAUGUUUUGUACCUUGAAAUCGCUAAAUCAAAUAUAUUAGUUAUGUUUCUCUCUUCAGGCCAAGUGUGAAAAUGAAACUUGUUGACAUCUGAAAUAGGAAAUACUAGGCUCAAGGGGAGCACACAAGUACACACCGAUGGGGAGUCAAGAAAACGUUCUGAUUAACGUAAUUGGAAGUUCCUACAAUUGAUCAGACUAAAAAGAUAAACUUCAUUCUGUCAAGUUGAAGUAAUCACAAAAUUGUAUGUAUAAAGAUAAAAUGGACAAACAAGUUG
This 713-nucleotide unclassified non-coding RNA is filed under the name Hevea brasiliensis (rubber tree). Lineage: Eukaryota; Viridiplantae; Streptophyta; Magnoliopsida; Malpighiales; Euphorbiaceae. The record is from RNAcentral.